RNAcentral lists this transfer RNA (82 nucleotides) under candidate division Zixibacteria bacterium RBG_16_53_22. RNAcentral's name for it is "tRNA-Leu". It matches the Rfam family "tRNA". Rfam says of the family: Transfer RNA (tRNA) molecules are approximately 80 nucleotides in length. Their secondary structure includes four short double-helical elements and three loops (D, anti-codon, and T loops). Lineage: Bacteria; Pseudomonadati; Candidatus Zixiibacteriota. The record is from RNAcentral.
GCGGAAGUGGUGGAAUUGGCAGACACGCCAUCUUGAGGGGGUGGUGCCGAAAGGCGUGAGGGUUCAAAUCCCUCCUUCCGCA